ACCACUUCUCGGCCUUCUGGGUAAGAGCAAGUGUAGUAUCUAUUUAUAUCAGUUUAAUAUCUGAUACAUCCUCUAUGGGAGGAUAAUAUAUUGAAUGGAUUUUUGGAGUUAGGAGGUGGACUAGGAACUUGCCCCACUCCACCUGUUGACCUGGUAUUGUAGUACCUCCAGGAAUGGUGCAUCCCUU
Small nuclear RNA from Cercocebus atys (sooty mangabey), 187 nucleotides. Its record names the gene U2. It matches the Rfam family "U2 spliceosomal RNA". From Rfam's summary of the family: U2 is a small nuclear RNA (snRNA) component of the spliceosome (involved in pre-mRNA splicing). Complementary binding between U2 snRNA (in an area lying towards the 5' end but 3' to hairpin I) and the branchpoint sequence (BPS) of the intron results the bulging out of an unpaired adenosine, on the BPS, which initiates a nucleophilic attack at the intronic 5' splice site, thus starting the first of two transesterification reactions that mediate splicing. NCBI's taxonomy places the organism in Eukaryota, Metazoa, Chordata, Mammalia, Primates, Cercopithecidae. The record is from Ensembl.